CCUACGGGUGGCAGCAGUGAGGAAUAUUGGUCAAUGGACGAGAGUCUGAACCAGCCAAGUAGCGUGAAGGAUGACUGCCCUAUGGGUUGUAAACUUCUUUUAUAUGGGAAUAACAUGUUCCACGUGUGGGAUUUUGUAUGUACCAUAUGAAUAAGGAUCGGCUAACUCCGUGCCAGCAGCCGCGGUAAUACGGAGGAUCCGAGCGUUAUCCGGAUUUAUUGGGUUUAAAGGGAGCGUAGGUGGAUUGUUAAGUCAGUUGUGAAAGUUUGCGGCUCAACCGUAACAUUGCAGUUGAAACUGGCAGUCUUGAGUACAGUAGAGGUAGGCGGAAUUCGUGGUGUAGCGGUGAAAUGCUUAGAUAUCACGAAGAACUCCGAUUGCGAAGGCAGUUCACUGGACUGCAACUGACACUGAGGCUCGAAGGUGUGGGUAUCAAACAGGAUUAGAUACCCUAGUAGUC
Molecule: ribosomal RNA, 460 nt
Filed under: uncultured bacterium
Lineage: Bacteria
Description: partial 16S ribosomal RNA
Rfam family: Bacterial small subunit ribosomal RNA
Source: RNAcentral